RNAcentral lists this ribosomal RNA (998 nucleotides) under uncultured Paracoccaceae bacterium. RNAcentral's name for it is "bacterial SSU rRNA". It matches the Rfam family "Bacterial small subunit ribosomal RNA", at positions 8 to 1008 of the family's 1533-position model. Lineage: Bacteria; Pseudomonadati; Pseudomonadota; Alphaproteobacteria; Rhodobacterales; Paracoccaceae. The record is from RNAcentral.
AGAGUUUGAUCCUGGCUCAGAUUGAACGCUGGCGGCAGGCCUAACACAUGCAAGUCGAGCGAGAAAGCCCUUCGGGGUGAGUAGAGCGGCGGACGGGUGAGUAACGCGUGGGAAUCUGUCCAGUAGAGGGGGAUAACACGGGGAAACUCGUGCUAAUACCGCAUACGCCCUCCGGGGGAAAGCAGGGGAUCUUAUGACCUUGCGCUAUUGGGUGAGCCCGCGUCGGAUUAGCUAGUUGGUGGGGUAAAGGCCUACCAAGGCGACGAUCCGUAGCUGGUCUGAGAGGAUGAUCAGUCACACUGGAACUGAGACACGGUCCAGACUCCUACGGGAGGCAGCAGUGGGGAAUAUUGCGCAAUGGGGGCAACCCUGACGCAGCCAUGCCGCGUGUGUGAAGAAGGCUCUAGGGUUGUAAAGCACUUUCAAUAGGGAGGAAAAGCUAAUGGUUAAUACCCAUUAGCCGUGACGUUACCUAUAGAAGAAGCACCGGCUAACUCCGUGCCAGCAGCCGCGGUAAUACGGAGGGGGUUAGCGUUGUUCGGAAUUACUGGGCGUAAAGCGCGCGUAGGCGGAUCGGAAAGUUAGAGGUGAAAUCCCAGGGCUCAACCCUGGAACUGCCUUUAAAACUAUCGGUCUAGAGUUCGAGGAGAGGUGAGUGGAAUCCGAGUGUAGAGGUGAAAUUCGUAGAUAUUCGGAGGAACACCAGUGGCCGAAGGCGGCUCACUGGCUCGAUACUGACGCUGAAGGUGCCGAAAGGUGUGGGGGAGCAAACAGGAUUAAAUACCCUGGUAGUCCAACCGAAACGAUGAUGCCAGACGUCGGUAGCAUGCUAUUCGGUUCACACCUAACGGAUUAAGCAUUCCGCCUGGGGAGUACGUCGCAAGAUAAAACUCAAGGAAUGACGGGGGCCGCAAAGGCGGUGGAACAGUGGUUUUAUUCGAAGCAACGCGCAGAAUCCUUACCAACCCUUGACAUACCUGUCGUACUUUCCAGAGAUG